AUCCAGCACACUCUCCCAUCUACUAAACAGCAACUUCAAUAUUUGCAGAUUUUAUAAAAAAAAACAAAAAAAACCGAAUAAGAUCUGCAAACAUUGAAGUUGCUGUUUAGUAGAUGGGAGAGUGCGCUGGAU
RNAcentral lists this microRNA precursor (132 nucleotides) under Pelobates cultripes (western spadefoot toad). The record is from RNAcentral. Lineage: Eukaryota; Metazoa; Chordata; Amphibia; Anura; Pelobatidae.